GACGAAGGGGGCAAGCGUUGUUCGGAAUUACUGGGCGUAAAGGGCGCGUAGGCGGUUCUUUAAGUCAGGCGUGAAAGCCCUGGGCUCAACCUGGGAGUGGCGCUUGAUACUGGAGGACUAGAGAGUGGGAGAGGUUGGUGGAAUUCCCAGUGUAGAGGUGAAAUUCGUAGAUAUUGGGAAGAACACCGGUGGCGAAGGCGGCCAACUGGACCAUUUCUGACGCUGAGGCGCGAAAGCGUGGGGAGCAAACAGGAUUAGAUACCCUGGUAGUCCACGCUGUAAACGAUGAGUGCUGGACGUUGCGGAGCUUGCUCUGCGGUGUCGUAGCUAACGCGCUAAGCACUCCGCCUGGGGAGUACGGCCGCAAGGUUGAA
RNAcentral lists this ribosomal RNA (374 nucleotides) under uncultured bacterium. RNAcentral describes it as "bacterial SSU rRNA". It matches the Rfam family "Bacterial small subunit ribosomal RNA", at positions 524 to 898 of the family's 1533-position model. The record is from RNAcentral.